Molecule: ribosomal RNA, 492 nt
Filed under: uncultured bacterium
Lineage: Bacteria
Description: partial 16S ribosomal RNA
Rfam family: Bacterial small subunit ribosomal RNA
Source: RNAcentral
AGUGAACGCUGGCGGUAGGCCUAACACAUGCAAGUCGAACGGCAGCACAGUAAGAGCUUGCCCUUACGGGUGGCGAGUGGCGGACGGGUGAGGAAUACAUCGGAAUCUACUUUUUCGUGGGGGAUAACGUAGGGAAACUUACGCUAAUACCGCAUAUGACCUACGGGUGAAAGCAGGAGAUCUUCGGACCUUGCGCGAUUGAAUGAGACGAUGUCGGAUUAGCUAGUUGGCUGGGUAAAGGCCCACCAAGGCAACGAUGCGUAGCUGGUCUGAGAGGAUGAUCAGCCACACUGGAACUGAGACACGGUCCAGACUCCUACGGGAGGCAGCAGUGGGGAAUAUUGGACAAUGGGCGCAAGCCUGAUCCAGCCAUACCGCGUGGGUGAAGAAGGUCUUCGGGUUGUAAAGCCCUUUUGUUGGGAAAGAAAAGCAGCAGGUUAAUACCCCGCUGUUCUGACGGUACCCAAAGAAUAAGCACCGGCUAACUUCGUG